This 707-nucleotide long non-coding RNA is filed under the name Gouania willdenowi (blunt-snouted clingfish). Its description in RNAcentral is "lncRNA (ENSGWIG00000006740.1)". The record is from RNAcentral. Lineage: Eukaryota; Metazoa; Chordata; Actinopteri; Blenniiformes; Gobiesocidae.
AAACCUGCCAGCUAGCGUCAGUGUGCAGUGUAAUGGUGGAUAGAUGAGAACAUACACCUACAUCUUCCUGGUUUAAAGUUCUUCUACACUUCAUAAAGCAAUGGCUAUGCUGAAGGUCAAGAUUGUGUUCCUCGUAUGAACGUGCAUUGUGUUCUGCAUCCUGAUUGGCUAAUGCUGCGUUCACCCAUCAAUGACGCAUCCAACUCAUGCCAACUUUCAAAGAGGAAAACUACAGAGAGAACUUUUACCUGCUACUACCACCUCCUCGCUGAUUCUCCUCCACGCCAAUGCCAUCCUAGUCCGGUCCCGUUGCCAUGUGGUCACACGCAGCUUCUACUCCCCUUAUACUGUAUGUACAGCAAAUACACAGCAGGCGCUUCUCCUAUUUGUCCGAAAUGUAAGGUAGCUGUAUAGGAACAAGGUUUCACUGCCUCUGGGAGUGUGACAAGAUUCAUCAGUUCUGGCAGGCUAUCUGUAAAGAGAUUGGUGUAAUAAUUGAUCAACAACUACAACCAAACCCACUACUGUCUUUUAGGCUCCAUUCCUGAUCACUUAAAAUUGCUAAGGAGCUUUAUGCAGUUUUUACUUAUGUUAGGGCGGAAGGCUAAAAUGACCAAAUGGGUAGGUGAUGCUUGGCCAACUGUCCCAUUAUGGAAAUCAUUACUAACUGAUACUAUUGUUUUGGAAAGGUUGAGAUAUUGCAUGAA